RNAcentral lists this ribosomal RNA (460 nucleotides) under uncultured bacterium. RNAcentral's name for it is "partial 16S ribosomal RNA". It matches the Rfam family "Bacterial small subunit ribosomal RNA", at positions 338 to 795 of the family's 1533-position model. The record is from RNAcentral.
CCUACGGGAGGCUGCAGUGAGGAAUAUUGGUCAAUGGGCGCGAGCCUGAACCAGCCAAGUCGCGUGAGGGAAGACGGCCCUACGGGUUGUAAACUUCUUUUGUAGAGGAGCAAAGCGAGCCACGUGUGGCUUAUUGAGUGUACUCUAUGCACAAGCAUCGGCUCACUCCGUUCCAGCAGCCGCGGUAAUACGGAGGAUCCGAGCGUUGUCCGGCUUUAAUGGGUUUCAAGGGAGCGCAGAAGGGUAGGUAAGUCAGCUGUGAAAUUGGGGGGCUCAACCCCCGGACUGCAGUUGAUACUGGAUGUCUUGAGUGCAGGAGAGGUAGGCGGAAUGCGUGGUGUAGCGGUGAAAUGCAUAGAUAUCACGAAGAACUCCGAUGGCGAAGGCAGCUUACUGGACUGCAACUGACGUUGAUGCUCGAAAGCGUGGGUAUCGAACAGGAUUAGAUACCCUUGUAGUC